Molecule: long non-coding RNA, 725 nt
Filed under: Capra hircus (goat)
Lineage: Eukaryota; Metazoa; Chordata; Mammalia; Artiodactyla; Bovidae
Description: lncRNA (ENSCHIG00000004966.1)
Source: RNAcentral
CUGCAUGACUGAGAAUCUGGGAUACCACCACAUUCCACUGCAGCCUCAGCGGCCUUAAGACAUUUUCGUUUCUGCUGGAGGGGAAAACAGACAGGAUACAGAGAUGGUGAAAGUUUGAUUUCAGGCUGAGAAACGGGGUGAUAUCAUCAGUCUGAGAAUUACUCACUGGUGUUAGCUGAGUCACCUGUCCAGAAAUAGAGCAGGCAGAGCUGAGGUAAGCGGCCGAGGGGGUGUCAGGAGGGGGUGGCUACACCUGCACCUCUUCUAAUUCCAGCACCGCACCGCUUGGCUCUGAAGUCCAGGAGCAGCUGUGACUCAGCUGUGACCGGCCUGGGGGAUGGAUACGGAGGACUCAGAGGAGGAAAGACUUGUGAGGAUGCUGAACCUGUCUAGAGGUGUUGGACAACUUGAGGAGGUGAAGAAGAGCUGACCCAUAACCCCAGCAGAUACACAGUCAAUAAAGAGGAUCUCUGGACCACAAAGGAGAUGAUAAGAGACAACGCCGUCAUUGAGAUUCUAACCUGGGGCUUCCAGAUACUAAUCAGGUUGAAGGGUGGCUGUUCAAAUGGAUUGGAUCCUUAAACCAUGGUGGGAGUGAAGGAAGAGUUUAAAGAGACCGGUGUUUUAGAAGAGAAUCCUAGCUGAGUGGGGAAGCUGUGAUUACCUACACAGACUUUAACUUUUUUCCCUUACCGAUGCCAAAACCCAAACCUUGGAAAUGAAUG